GAUGCUAAUACCGGAUAACAACAGAUGAUGCCUAUCAACUGUUUAAAAGAUGGUUCUGCUAUCACUCUUGGAUGGACCUGCGGUGCAUUAGCUAGUUGGUAGGGUAACGGCCUACCAAGGCGAUGAUGCAUAGCCGAGUUGAGAGACUGAUCGGCCACAUUGGGACUGAGACACGGCCCAAACUCCUACGGGAAGCAGCAGCA
RNAcentral lists this ribosomal RNA (203 nucleotides) under uncultured Lactobacillus sp. Its description in RNAcentral is "partial 16S ribosomal RNA". It matches the Rfam family "Bacterial small subunit ribosomal RNA", at positions 159 to 355 of the family's 1533-position model. The record is from RNAcentral. Lineage: Bacteria; Bacillati; Bacillota; Bacilli; Lactobacillales; Lactobacillaceae.